GAUGAACGCUGGCGGCGUGCCUAAUACAUGCAAGUCGAGCGAACGGACGAGAAGCUUGCUUCUCUGAUGUUAGCGGCGGACGGGUGAGUAACACGUGGAUAACCUACCUAUAAGACUGGGAUAACUUCGGGAAACCGGAGCUAAUACCGGAUAAUAUUUUGAACCGCAUGGUUCAAAAGUGAAAGACGGUCUUGCUGUCACUUAUAGAUGGAUCCGCGCUGCAUUAGCUAGUUGGUAAGGUAACGGCUUACCAAGGCAACGAUGCAUAGCCGACCUGAGAGGGUGAUCGGCCACACUGGAACUGAGACACGGUCCAGACUCCUACGGGAGGCAGCAGUAGGGAAUCUUCCGCAAUGGGCGAAAGCCUGACGGAGCAACGCCGUGUGAGUGAUGAAGGUCUUCGGAUCGUAAACCUCUGUUAUUAGGGAAGAACAUAUGUGUAAGUAACUGUGCACAUCUUGACGGUACCUAAUCAGAAAGCCACGGCUAACUACGUG
This 497-nucleotide ribosomal RNA is filed under the name uncultured bacterium. Its description in RNAcentral is "partial 16S ribosomal RNA". It matches the Rfam family "Bacterial small subunit ribosomal RNA", at positions 28 to 507 of the family's 1533-position model. The record is from RNAcentral.